CGGGUGUUCAAAUAGUGGCGCACGGGUGCGUAACACGUGGGAAUGUACCUCUUGGUAAGGAAUAAUGUCUGGAAACGGACACUAAUGCCUUAUAAUGACUCCGGUCCAAAGAUUUAUCGCCAAGAGAUCAGCCCGCGCUUGAUUAGUUUGUUGGUGAGGUAAUGGCUCACCAAGACUACGAUCAAUAGGGGGUCUGAGAGGAUGAUCCCCCACACUGGGACUGAGACACGGCCCAGACUCC
This 241-nucleotide ribosomal RNA is filed under the name uncultured bacterium. Its description in RNAcentral is "partial 16S ribosomal RNA". It matches the Rfam family "Bacterial small subunit ribosomal RNA", at positions 81 to 339 of the family's 1533-position model. The record is from RNAcentral.